RNAcentral lists this transfer RNA (71 nucleotides) under Loxodonta africana (African savanna elephant). It matches the Rfam family "tRNA". From Rfam's summary of the family: Transfer RNA (tRNA) molecules are approximately 80 nucleotides in length. Their secondary structure includes four short double-helical elements and three loops (D, anti-codon, and T loops). The record is from Rfam by way of RNAcentral. Lineage: Eukaryota; Metazoa; Chordata; Mammalia; Proboscidea; Elephantidae.
GCAUUGGUGGUUCAGUGGUAGAAUUUUAAUCUUCCACGUGGGAGGCCAGGGUUCACUUCCCAGUCAAUGCA